UACAAUCAAGCAAGGUUCCUUGUGCGCAACUGAUGGUUCCCCGAAUCGGAUUGGGUGGGGUUCCGUCAAUAAAGAAGGACGCUAUGGCCUUGCAAGGUUUCAAGUUGAGGAAUAUUGCAAGGUUCCUUGUGCGCAUCAGAGGGUUCCCCCGUUCGGAUUGGGUGGGGUUCCGACAUUAGAAAGAGGAGGGUUCUCGCUCGCGAUAUGACGGACAUGUACCAACUAUAUACAAGGAGCGUUAUCAAUCAUCAAGAUGGUGGGGGCCUGCCCCGCGGGGGGAGGGGGGUUGUAUGGAUGUGCAUAUAGAGAGCUCCAACGUUAUACAGACAUAGGUUUGAGUGCGCGAAGAAGAGAAAUCACAUCAACAAAUCGGUGUGCCCCCGUCGUUGGACCACACGCGGGGCGAUUGUUUCGCCGCCAUAUACAUACAAUCAAGCAAGGUUCCUUGUGCGCAACUGAUGGUUCCCCGAAUCGGAUUGGGUGGGGUUCCGUCAAUAAAGAAGGACGCUAUGGCCUUGCAAGGUUUCAAGUUGAGGAAUAUUGCAAGGUUCCUUGUGCGCAACAGAGGGUUCCCCCGUCGGAUUGGGUGGGGUUCCGACAUUAGAAAGAGGAGGGUUCUCGCUCGCGAUAUGGCGGACAUUGUAAAACUCGUAUGCCUCCUGCUCAGAGUUGAAAGACAUGCCCACAGCUGGUUCGAAGACAAUCUUCUUUCCGAGCUUCACUGCUUCAUCCAUCGCCCUCUCGAUUGCCCUCCGCUGCUGCUCUGAAUGGCGUCCCAUUUUUAUUCCU
This 789-nucleotide long non-coding RNA is filed under the name Triticum aestivum (bread wheat). RNAcentral describes it as "long non-coding RNA (TAES_LNC024123)". The record is from RNAcentral. Lineage: Eukaryota; Viridiplantae; Streptophyta; Magnoliopsida; Poales; Poaceae.